This 510-nucleotide ribosomal RNA is filed under the name uncultured bacterium. Its description in RNAcentral is "partial 16S ribosomal RNA". It matches the Rfam family "Bacterial small subunit ribosomal RNA", at positions 28 to 507 of the family's 1533-position model. The record is from RNAcentral.
GACGAACGCUGGCGGCGUGCUUAACACAUGCAAGUCGAACGAAGAGCGAUGGAAGCUUGCUUCUAUCAAUCUUAGUGGCGAACGGGUGAGUAACGCGUAAUCAACCUGCCCUUCAGAGGGGAACAACAGUUGGAAACGACUGCUAAUACCGCAUACGAUCUAAUCUCGGCAUCGAGGAUAAAUGAAAGGUGGCCUCUACAUGUAAGCUAUCACUGAAGGAGGGGAUUGCGUCUGAUUAGCUAGUUGGAGGGGUAACGGCCCACCAAGGCGAUGAUCAGUAGCCGGUCUGAGAGGAUGAACGGCCACAUUGGGACUGAGACACGGCCCAGACUCCUACGGGAGGCAGCAGUGGGGAAUCUUCCGCAAUGGACGAAAGUCUGACGGAGCAACGCCGCGUGAGUGAUGACGGCCUUCGGGUUGUAAAGCUCUGUUAAUCGGGACGAAAGGCCUUCUUGCGAAUAGUGAGAAGGAUUGACGGUACCGGAAUAGAAAGCCACGGCUAACUACGUG